GUGUUAUCAUUAUAAAUUUCUUUCGAAAUGACAUACAAAAGGUAGUUUUGUGUCAAGGAAACAUAGGCCAAUCGCUUGGCCUACAAGAAGUUCACAGGUUUAGAAAAAAGAAGGAUGAGAGAUGUGCACACAAAUGUCUUCCUCUUGGGUAAAGAAGAAGACCAGCAACAACCUCCCCUUUGAAUUGGUUUUUCAAUAAUGAUCCUUCCGCAGGUUCACCUACGGAAA
This 228-nucleotide unclassified non-coding RNA is filed under the name uncultured fungus. Its description in RNAcentral is "sequence contains ITS1". Lineage: Eukaryota; Fungi. The record is from RNAcentral.